CAUCUCUCUUUCAAGGAGGCA
RNAcentral lists this non-coding RNA (21 nucleotides) under Arabidopsis thaliana (thale cress). The record is from RNAcentral. Lineage: Eukaryota; Viridiplantae; Streptophyta; Magnoliopsida; Brassicales; Brassicaceae.